UACUGGUGUGAGGGAUAGCAGCGAAAAGCCCACAGGCCAGUAGCCGAGGACUUGAAGCGGAAAGCCCGGCCCGAU
RNAcentral lists this unclassified non-coding RNA (75 nucleotides) under Arenibacter troitsensis. Its description in RNAcentral is "Flavo-1 RNA". The record is from RNAcentral. Lineage: Bacteria; Pseudomonadati; Bacteroidota; Flavobacteriia; Flavobacteriales; Flavobacteriaceae.